GACAGCCAGGGCUAUACCAAAAACAAAACAAUACAAUCACCUGUAACUUUGGCUCUAAGGGAUCCAAUGCCCCCUUGUGGCCUCUGGGUCACUAGUGUCUGCCAUAGUUGAAAGGAAAGUGAACAGGAACACAAAGGUGGACUCUGGGCUGCUUCACACCAGAAGACUUGUCUGAGCUCAAGACGCCAACCUCCAGGCCACCCAAAAAAAGGAAAUUAUACUGGGACAGUAGGAAGUACCUGAUCAGCACAUGGCCCAUCGAUGGACUUGUCUGAGACGUCAUAGCACGUGUGAGAAAACUCCAAAAAACAAGUCUUUGACGUCAGCUUCCUCAAAACAUGGAAUUAUUCUUGGCAUGUGUCUUCAGGCCCCUCCCAGGUGUAGUGCACGGGGGAAGAAAUGUUCUCGGUACUGAUCCUGUAGAGAACCCCUCAUGGUGCUCCUGCUCUGCUCCUGGAAGUUGCAGAACCUGUUUAAACCUGGCCGAAUUCUGAUCGGCACCUCUAAUGACUCAAUAAACCCUUUAUUUCAAAGA
Long non-coding RNA from Mus musculus (house mouse), 535 nucleotides. RefSeq annotates it as predicted gene, 39770. Lineage: Eukaryota; Metazoa; Chordata; Mammalia; Rodentia; Muridae. The record is from RefSeq and is a predicted model, not a curated record. The transcript has 2 exons.